Molecule: long non-coding RNA, 926 nt
Organism: Carassius auratus (goldfish)
Lineage: Eukaryota; Metazoa; Chordata; Actinopteri; Cypriniformes; Cyprinidae
Exons: 3
Source: RefSeq, a predicted model, not a curated record
AGACAGUUGCACCUUCAAUAUUUUAUGCCAACUUUAGCUUGUCGUUGAUCCAUGAAAUUUAAUGGAAAGAUCUGGUGUUUCGAGGGUGAAAAAGUUCCCCAUGCAGAUUUCAAUGUGUUCAAGUUGGUCCAACAAAUUUGCUGUUCUUCAAUGCGAGUCUGUUUCGCUUUUUUCCAAUAAAUUUUCACCCAAAUUAUUUGUAUAUUCUAUUAACAUACAUGUCACUGAUCUACCAACAGAAUUAAGGCAGCAUAAACAAUAAAUCAAUUUAGGAUUUUACUGUGACAAAUAAUGUCAAAAGUAUGUAAAAAGUAAUUUUUACAUAAUUAAAUAUUAUUAUUUUUUUUAUAAUUUGAAUUUUAUACAAUAACAUUUAAAAUAUAUUCGUUAUAAUUAUACAAGUCGCAACAAUGUUUUCAAACAUUUCAGAAAACACAAAACAUUAGAAAAUAGAGCGCGCGACGCCAACAUUUGUGGUAACCAUAGCAAUAGUUUGCCGCUGCAGCAAAUUCGUUGAGAUUCCCAAUCGGACAUCGGCUAAACAUAAAAGUUUGAUCUACUUGCAAAAGAGAAGAGAAGUUAACAAAUGAAAGAAACAAGUGGAACAAAGGUGAAGAGAAAUGAAAGAAAACUACUUGUCACUGAUAAACGACGUGACAAGAGACACGCUGAACGUGACAGACACAAACUGCCAGGGUUGGGAAAGUUCCAUGAGCCACGACUCAAACCCGGGAUGCCCAAAAGCACAACAACGCUAUAUGUCGUUGUGGUGCCCACGAGGCUAUUGGCACAGACAUAAAUGUCACUUUAUCAAUUUUAUUGCAUUCUUGUUGAAUAAAAGCUUUUUUAUAGAUCUAUAUAUUUUACUGACCCCAGACUCUUGAUUGGUAAUGUACAAUAUCUUCAGACUAAGUGUACGAAUGUUU